This is a non-coding RNA of Schistosoma margrebowiei, 45 nucleotides long. NCBI's taxonomy places the organism in Eukaryota, Metazoa, Platyhelminthes, Trematoda, Strigeidida, Schistosomatidae. The record is from Rfam.
AUCCAGCUGAUGAGUCCCAAAUAGGGCGAUACGCUUGUCCUAGAU